RNAcentral lists this ribosomal RNA (479 nucleotides) under uncultured Alphaproteobacteria bacterium. Its description in RNAcentral is "bacterial SSU rRNA". It matches the Rfam family "Bacterial small subunit ribosomal RNA", at positions 9 to 524 of the family's 1533-position model. Lineage: Bacteria; Pseudomonadati; Pseudomonadota; Alphaproteobacteria. The record is from RNAcentral.
GAGUUUGAUCAUGGCUCAGAACGAACGCUGGCGGCAUGCCUAACACAUGCAAGUCGAACGGGAUCCAGGCUUCGGCCUGGUGAGAGUGGCGGACGGGUGAGUAACGCGUGGGAACCUGCCCAAUGGUCUGGGAUAACCGCGGGAAACUGCGGCUAAUACCGGAUAAGCCCGAGAGGGGAAAGAUUUAUCGCCGAUGGAGGGGCCCGCGUCCGAUUAGGUAGUUGGUGGGGUAACGGCCUACCAAGCCUACGAUCGGUAGCUGGUCUGAGAGGAUGAUCAGCCACACUGGGACUGAGAUACGGCCCAGACUCCUACGGGAGGCAGCAGUGGGGAAUAUUGGACAAUGGGGGCAACCCUGAUCCAGCAAUGCCGCGUGAGUGAUGAAGGCCUUAGGGUUGUAAAGCUCUUUUGGCGGGGACGAUGAUGACGGUACCCGCAGAAUAAGCCCCGGCUAACUUCGUGCCAGCCGCCGCUGUAAG